GACGAACGCUGGCGGCGUGCCUAAUACAUGCAAGUCGAGCGGAACUGGGGGAGCUUGCUCCUUCCAGUUUAGCGGCGGACGGGUGAGUAACACGUGGGCAACCUGCCCUGCAGAUCGGGAUAACUCCGGGAAACCGGUGCUAAUACCGAAUAGUUUGGCGCCUCUCCUGAGGCGCUACGGAAAGACGGUUUCGGCUGUCACUGCAGGACGGGCCCGCGGCGCAUUAGCUAGUUGGUGGGGUAACGGCCCACCAAGGCGACGAUGGGUGGCCGACCUGGGAGGGUGACCGGCCGCACUGGGACUGAGACACGGCCCAGACUCCUACGGGAGGCAGCAGUAGGGAAUCUUCCGCAAUGGACGCAAGUCUGACGGAGCAACGCCGCGUGAGUGACGAAGGUUUUCGGAUCGUAAAACUCUGUUGUGAGGGAAGAACACGUACCAACUAACUAUUGGUACCUUGACGGUACCUCGCCAGAAAGCCACGGCUAACUACGUGCCAGCCGCCGCCGUAA
Molecule: ribosomal RNA, 512 nt
Filed under: uncultured bacterium
Lineage: Bacteria
Description: partial 16S ribosomal RNA
Rfam family: Bacterial small subunit ribosomal RNA
Source: RNAcentral